This is a long non-coding RNA of Daphnia pulex (common water flea), 2605 nucleotides long. RefSeq lists it as uncharacterized. The record is from RefSeq and is a predicted model, not a curated record. Lineage: Eukaryota; Metazoa; Arthropoda; Branchiopoda; Diplostraca; Daphniidae. The transcript is spliced from 7 exons.
CAGCCACAAGGCUUAAGAGGAGGGGUGAGAAAAAGUCGUAUAAAGGCGAGAGAAAAGUCGACAGGGAUCAGUCGAGCGAGUACAUCCGACACGGCAACAACUGCAUUCUUCGUCGUAUUUUCAGGUCGCAAUUACGGUUAACUAUGGCGUCGUGCUGCUAUUGGAUGUUGUAUCGUCGAUGGCUUGGUCGACUACUGGUGUACCGAUGUCUCCUGGAUAAGGCGGAUACCAAACUGCAACGCCGCCGCCUUACUACACAACAAUAUACGCAACGACCAGUACUACACCGAGGUUGCACAGUUUGGUUUACAUUUAAACCACCAAGGAUCCAGAUUAUUACACCACAACUUGUGCUGCUCCCCGAUCUACACUAUCAAAGCGCUAGAGUACUACACCGAGGCUCCUAAGUACUACACCACCAAGGCACCUGAGAUUACGCAACUACAUAUGCUUCUACCUACGACUCCAAAGCUGUCGUAUACUACAAAGGAGCGCCCAAGUACCAUAGAAAUCAGUCGAGUGAGCCGAAUAAAGUUUUCCUUUUCGAAUAAAGUUCGCUUCAAACAGUGAAGACGAAUUCUUUGGAAUUACGUCGAAUUGAAUAGCAAAGAUAACACAUUCGUACGUGUACACCGCGUCGUUAAACUUGACAUUGUUGGUCGGAAAGCCGAACUUGACGAUGGCCGUACCAUCACCUACGACAAGUGCGUUAUUGCCACAGGUGGUAAACGAAAAUCUGUUCCAAUCCCUGAGCGGUGCCCUUAAAGAUCCCCACGAGCACGUAACGCUGUUCCGCCAUAUCGAUGGCGGCAACAUAGGCCGAGUUCUCCCUAAAUAUUUGAGCCAAUGGAAAACGGAGAAGGUGAAAGCGCAAGGUGCUUAUGUGUUGCCUAAAGCCUAAUGUUGAGGGUGCAAUUUUGGAAGACUGCAAGGUCGCAUUGACCUUAAACGAUGGUCAAAAGAUUCAAACUGACUAUGUCGUCGCUGUUGUCGGUUGGGACGAAACAAUGGAUUUGGCUGUCGCUUUCGGUUAGGAAAUAGAUUCUACUUUUGGUGGUUAUCGAGUCAAUACCGAGCUUGAAGCACGAUCGAACGUCUGGUAGGGUGGAGAUGUUACGUUCUUUUGUGAUAUCAAAUUGGGUCGUUGUCGUAUGGAACAUAGCUACCAUGCUGUUGUAUCAGGGCGAUUGGCUGGAGAGAACAACCCCGGCAAAGAAACAUGGAUGAAAUACUGCAGUGCACUGUUAACAAGUGCAUUCUUCGUCGUAUUAUCAGAACGCAAUCGGUUGAUUGUGAUGUCGUGAUGUUGCUGUUUGCCGUGUCGUUGAAGGCUGGGUCGAUCACUGGUGUAUCGAUAUCUCCUGGGUAUGGCGGAUACCAAAGUACCACGCCGCCGCCUUACUACACAACGACAACAUUCGCAAGAACCGGUUACUACAUUAGGCACAAUUACUACAUCACCAAGGCUCCAAAAUAUUACACCGCAGCAAAUGCUGCCCCGAAUUACAUCAUCAAACUUACUACACCGAGGCUCCCAAGUACUACACCACCAAGUCACCGGAGUGCUACACGUAUGUUGCCCCAGCUUGUACACCGAGGCUUCCAAGUAUUACUCGGUUCCUAGCUACUACACCGAGGCUCCAACUUAUUACACCACCAAAGCUGCUGAAUACCACACCGAGCCGCCCAAGUACCACACCAAUAAGGCUCCCAGAGUAUUACACCACAACUUGUGCUUCCUCGACCCACUGCACCGAAGCCCCGAAGUAUUACUCUGCCCCAAACUACACAACUACAACUGAGGCGGCCAAGUAUUACGCAGCCCCGACUAACUACACAGCGGCUACUCCUUCGUACUACGUUGAACCGGAAUACUACACCGAGGCUGCAUUGCUACACCACAACCUACGCUACACCUACUACACACUACACCGAGGCCCCUAUGUACUACACUACCAAGGCACCUGAGUAUUUCAACACUACUUACACGCUGCUCCGACCAGCUACACCGAAGCUCCGAAGUAUUACUCUAUCCCGAGUUACUACACCACCAAGGCACCUGAAUAUUACACCACACCCUACGCUUCUCCCACUUAUUACAGGGACGUUUCUAAAUAGUAAAUACUAGAGUCGAAUUUUCAAUUUUAAUAAUUACGUUCAGAUUUGUCAGUCAUAACUUAAUAAUUACUAGUCAAUGGGAAUUGUUGGUCUUUAAAGAGAAAUAAAUUCUCUUUAACCUGGGUAAUCAUUUUGUACGGCUUCUCUAAAAGCCUUUGACAUUGCGACGUUUUCUGAUUUUUGUUGAAUCUUUCCUAUUUCGCAUGUUGGAGGUGACUAUUGCUCUAGUCGCUCUGCAUUCCGACAUGUUCUAUUGUUGGGACGAACUUCAUUCACAGGGCAAAUUACGAAAGAAACGUACUGUGGUGUUUACUAAAAAAAUUCGAUGUUAACAGCUCUGUUUUUAACUUUAGUUGGCGUAACAAAGGAGUUGGAGAUAGUGUUUGGUGUCUCAUAGAAGUUUAUCUGAAGGGUCUGGAGUUGAUCAGUCACUUGUCUAACUUUUGUAAAACUUCAAGUUGUAAAAAAUAAACAAAUCGUGAUUAAA